CAGAGUUAUCCAACUCCCAAACCCAUGUGAACUUAUCUCUUUGUUGCCUCGGCGCAAGCUACCCGGGACCUCGCGCCCCGGGCGGCCCGCCGGCGGACAACACCAAAACUCUUGUUAUCCUUCGUUGAUUAUCUGAGCUGUCUUAUUUAAUAAGUCA
Molecule: unclassified non-coding RNA, 157 nt
Filed under: soil metagenome
Description: partial internal transcribed spacer 1
Source: RNAcentral